RNAcentral lists this non-coding RNA (24 nucleotides) under Arabidopsis thaliana (thale cress). Lineage: Eukaryota; Viridiplantae; Streptophyta; Magnoliopsida; Brassicales; Brassicaceae. The record is from RNAcentral.
GGUGUCACCGAUCAGUUUGAUACC